RNAcentral lists this ribosomal RNA (1151 nucleotides) under Bacillus sp. (in: firmicutes). RNAcentral describes it as "bacterial SSU rRNA". It matches the Rfam family "Bacterial small subunit ribosomal RNA", at positions 115 to 1257 of the family's 1533-position model. Lineage: Bacteria; Bacillati; Bacillota; Bacilli; Caryophanales; Bacillaceae. The record is from RNAcentral.
ACACAGGUACCUGCCUGUAAGACUGGGUAACUCCGGAAACCGGGGCUAAUACCGGAUGCUUGUUUGAACCGCAUGGUUCAAACAUAAAAGGUGGCUUCGGCUACCACUUACAGAUGGACCCGCGGCGCAUUAGCUAGUUGGUGAGGUAAUGGCUCACCAAGGCAACGAUGCGUAGCCGACCUGAGAGGGUGAUCGGCCACACUGGGACUGAGACACGGCCCAGACUCCUACGGGAGGCAGCAGUAGGGAAUCUUCCGCAAUGGACGAAAGUCUGACGGAGCAACGCCGCGUGAGUGAUGAAGGUUUUCGGAUCGUAAAGCUCUGUUGUUAGGGAAGAACAAGUACCGUUCGAAUAGGGCGGUACCUUGACGGUACCUAACCAGAAAGCCACGGCUAACUACGUGCCAGCAGCCGCGGUAAUACGUAGGUGGCAAGCGUUGUCCGGAAUUAUUGGGCGUAAAGGGCUCGCAGGCGGUUCCUUUAAGUCUGAUGUGAAAGCCCCCGGCUCAACCGGGGAGGGUCAUUGGAAACUGGGGAACUUGAGUGCAGAAGAGGAGAGUGGAAUUCCACGUGUAGCGGUGAAAUGCGUAGAGAUGUGGAGGAACACCAGUGGCGAAGGCGACUCUCUGGUCUGUAACUGACGCUGAGGAGCGAAAGCGUGGGGAGCGAACAGGAUUAGAUACCCUGGUAGUCCACGCCGUAAACGAUGAGUGCUAAGUGUUAGGGGGUUUCCGCCCCUUAGUGCUGCAGCUAACGCAUUAAGCACUCCGCCUGGGGAGUACGGUCGCAAGACUGAAACUCAAAGGAAUUGACGGGGGCCCGCACAAGCGGUGGAGCUGUGGUUUAAUUCGAAGCAACGCGAAGAACCUUACCAGGUCUUGACAUCCUCUGACAAUCCUAGAGAUAGGACGUCCCCUUCGGGGGCAGAGUGACAGGUGGUGCAUGGUUGUCGUCAGCUCGUGUCGUGAGAUGUUGGGUUAAGUCCCGCAACGAGCGCAACCCUUGAUCUUAGUUGCCAGCAUUCAGUUGGGCACUCUAAGGUGACUGCCGGUGACAAACCGGAGGAAGGUGGGGAGACGUCAAAUCAUCAUGCCCCUUAUGACCUGGGCUACACACGUGCUCAAUGGACAGAACAAAGGGCAGNGAAACCG